GGAGGUUAGAUGGGGAUGGGGGAGUAUGGAGGUUAGAUGGGGAGGAUGUGGAGGUUAGAUGGGGAUGGGGAGGAUGGAGGUUAGAUGGGGGUGGGGGGGAGGAUGUGGAGGUUAGAUGGGGAUGCGGGAGGAUGUGGAGGUUAGAUGGGGAGAAUGUGGAGGUUAGAUGUGGGUGGGGGGUAGGAUGUGGAGGUUUGAUGGGGAGGAUGUGGAGGUUAGAUGGGGGUGGGGGUAGGAUGUGGAGGUUAGAUGGGGAGGAUGUGGAGGUUAGAUGGGGUGGGGGUAGGAUGUGGAGGUUAGAUGGGGAGGAUGUGGAGGUUAGAUGGGGAUGGGGAGGAUGUGGAGGUUAGAUGGGGAGGAUGUGGAGGUUAGAUGGGGA
Long non-coding RNA from Oncorhynchus tshawytscha (Chinook salmon), 379 nucleotides. NCBI's taxonomy places the organism in Eukaryota, Metazoa, Chordata, Actinopteri, Salmoniformes, Salmonidae. The record is from Ensembl.